RNAcentral lists this ribosomal RNA (351 nucleotides) under uncultured bacterium. RNAcentral's name for it is "bacterial SSU rRNA". It matches the Rfam family "Bacterial small subunit ribosomal RNA", at positions 917 to 1271 of the family's 1533-position model. The record is from RNAcentral.
GGACCCGCACAAGUAGUGGAGCAUGUGGUUUAAUUCGAAGAUACGCGCAGAACCUUACCAACACUUGACAUGUUCGUCGCGACUUUAAGAGAUUAAAGUUUUCGGUUCGGCCGGACGAAACACAGGUGCUGCAUGGCUGUCGUCAGCUCGUGUCGUGAGAUGUUGGUUAAGUCCCGCAACGAUGCGCAACCCUCACUUUUAGUUGCCAUCAUUAAGUUGGCACUCUGAAAGAACUGCCAGUGAUAAGCUGAGGAAGUGGGGAUGACGUAAGUCCUCAUGGCCCUUACGUGUUGGGCUACACACGUGCUCAAUGUCGGUACAGAGAGCAGCCACUACGCGAGUAGGAGCGAA